UUUUUUUUUUUUCGUCGCUAUAUAGGGUAGUACAAUUAGGAACUAUAUUGGUUAUCUUGUUUAUGCUAGUUAUUUUGUGGAAUUGGACGCUUAAAAUUGAGUUUGUUGGCGUUGAUUUGGUAUUUAGAGUGUCUUUGCCUGGAAAUUCAUGAACUUGGAAUUGAAUUUGAUUUAUAGGGAUUUGGUAUUGGUUUCAAUUAUUUCUUUUAUGCAAUUGUUGGAUGCCUUGUUUAUUUGUAAAAGAAUGUGUUAAUAAUUUGGAUGUGUAGUUUAUAGGGAUUUGGCCUUGGUUAUUAAUUUGGAUUCUAUGCAGAAUAUUAUGAUGAAAAUAUUCAACUUCCAAGUGGUUCAAGUGUGAUUAUCAAGAGGGUUCCUGCUGGAUCAAUGCGUGCAGAUAAGUAAGUUUAUUAAUGUUUUUCAUUCGUUACCAGCAAACUACUAGCUUAUGUGAAGAUUUAUAUUAUACCUUCUCUUUUGUGUUGUUUCUAUUUUGCAGGGGGCAUGUUGAAUCUUUUGAGAAUGUCGGGAUUAAAGACACAAAUGUGUUUAGGACCUCUGCUCAAGCGGUAUGUAGAUGAUGUUAUCUUUCAUUUUAUUAAUUGGUAAAAGUUCUCGGUUGUUUUCCACUGAGUUGUCCAGUCUCUUCCUUACUUGGUUGUGAUGUGUAUGCCCGUAAUGAAAAAAUAUAGAUGCAUAAAAGAAAUCCACAUGACAAUUGAAAAGUCAAAUAUCUUUUGCUCUUUCUAAUUAGUGAACGAGAAAUUAGGUAAAGGGCACAAAGAGGGUGUAAAGAUGAAAGUUUGUGAUUAUGGACCUAUGAGAGAGUGUAGGUAAGGAGUUGCUUAAGUGACAAGAAGGGCAUCUUACACUUGUAGGGUUUGCUUAAUGUGAAUGCUUUCUCUUUUAUAGUUUUAGCAGGGAAAAUGAGGGAAUAGACGCGGGAAACGGCGUUUUCAAAAAUAUAGAAAAUGGAAACGUGAGAAAACGCGUAAAUAUAAAAAAAUAUAAGGGUAUAUAUAUAAUGAAAGAUAUCAGACAAUAAAUAAAGUGCUAAUUAACAUUCAAAUCCAACCAUAUCAAAAAGAAAAAAAAAAUACAUGUUUACAAGUUUCAUACUCAUAAAAAAAAUAUCAAAUACAACACAUUCAAAUGUAAAAAAACAAAAAAAAAAAAGAAGAAGAGAUAAUGAAAUUUAUGACACACUCAUUAAAGCACAAGACAAUAGAGUUGAAUAUAUUACUAUAGAAAUUAUUACAAAAAUAGAAUUGAACUAUCUAUAUAUAACUAUAGAUAAAAACAAUAGAAUUGAAAAUUACAUAUUUUUUUCCAAAAAUAAAUAAAUAAAAGAUUACAUAUUGUUUUUCUAAAUCAUAGCCAAUGGUGACAUGCAUGCUAAAUCACAAUAAAAUCACAUCCAAAUUUGGCUCAGGCCAAAUAAAACCCACAAAAGCCAACCAUUGAUUAAGAAUUUAACCGUCAAAACUCAAUAUACCAAAACCAAUAAGAGGCAGAGCAUGGGAAAGAAAAGCUAAAGGGUUAUAGACUUACAGUAUACACACUUGCGCCUUAUGUAGCUGCUGUCGUGCCCAAGACAGUCCUCCUCCUCUUUUUCUUCUUUUGGUGCAGCGCGAUUCCCAAGCCAGGUGCGACUCUGUUGCGUUUUUAACCAAACUAUUUUUUUUAAAGAAAUGCGCUUCCAGCAUAGGAAAUGCGUGUCCGACUUCUGAAAAUUGCGGAAACGGCCACGAAACAUUUCCCAGCUGUGUCUCGCCGUUUUUGUGUUGGAAAAGUUUUGGACAUGGGAAACGCCUCCCCUCGCCGUUUCCGUGAAUUACAGGUUUAUGGCUGAUGUUUAAUAGGGAUCUCUUAUUUAUUUUUACUGUGUGGUUUUCAACAGCAAAUGCAUUUUCCAAUUUUAGUAGUCUGUUGAGGUGGCUGCUUCGGUUUUUUUAUUUUUGCUUAUUUUAUAGAGUAUUCUUUGUUGUAAUAUUUACAUAAAUACCAAUGUGGAAGAGGGUCUUAAGUCUGUAACUAAAAUCUAUAUAUCAGCACCAAGCACAUUUAUAAGUGAUUGCCUACUCACAUAAUAACUUUUCCCUUUGACUGAGCUUUUUGGUUCUGUUAUCUGUAAGCCUGAGUUCUUAUUUGUUGUACAUCUCCAUUUCUGGGAAGUCCAUGAAACAAUAAGAUGUUGGAAGUAUGCAUCUUAUGGUAUAAUAUUAAAAUUACAUGUGUUUUCUAGCAAAUCCUUUUUGUUGUUUGGAUAAUUGUUGGUGUUAGCAAAUCUUAAUAAUUUAAUAGUUAUAAAUUCUUUGUUAUAGAAUGUGGAAGUGGAUAACUUUGAUGAUUUCGGGGCUGAAUUGUGUCCAAUUCCUGAGGCAACCAUAUCUGGUUCUGAUUUUGAUGUGGAUAAGCAAUUUCUCUGUACCAAUGAUGAGACACCAAGGUUUUUUGAGAUUCCUAGGGUUGGAUGUCAGAAACUUGAUGCAAGUGAACUGAUUGAAUCUAUUCCAACAAGACCUUCCAAUAUUGGUGACAGCGAGGAUGCAUCUCAGAUAAAAUCAAAGCCUAGUGUUGAUGCAUUAACAAAACCAAAGAAGGUGGUUACUGCCAAUCCUCAAUCCAUGCAAAAUGUUGAUUUGCCAGCCGAGCUGAAAUGCUAUCUUUGUGGCACUUUUUUCAAGGAGGCUGUGAUGAUUCCUUGCUGUCAGCAUAGUUUUUGUGAGAAAUGCAUUCAGCUAGUGCUUGUUGAGAAGAGAAGCUGUCCCAAGUGCUUAUCUACCAAAUAUACAGUGAAAGAUUUGCUACCAAAUGUUUCUCUUAGACAGGCAAUUGAACGUUUCCUUGAAUCUCAAAUUUUGAUCAAAAGUUCAGACAAUGCCUUUGGGUAUGCUCCAGAUGGAGAAUCUGGAAUUCAAGUGAAAGAACUGUCAUGUGCUGUGAGUGUUCACCAAAGAGAAGCAGUGUUGCCUCAUUCUCCCUGUGCUACAAGGAGGGGUUCCAAUCAAAUUAUGGGAAAAUCAGUUAGUGGCAAAUCAUCGCUUUGUCAUAAGCUAAAACAAUUAGAUGCAGAAAAGCAUGGCUCUAGACAUCCGGUGGAUUUGGAAAGAGGAGCUGAGGACUUGGUUUCUGAGUUUCAAGGGGAGAACCAGCCCAUGCACGAGGAAGGUAUCAUCAUAUGAAAUUUUCUCCUGAGUUGAAUUCUUUGAGUGGGUUUUGUACAGUUUAUCUUAAUUACUGAUGACUGGA
This 3249-nucleotide unclassified non-coding RNA is filed under the name Hevea brasiliensis (rubber tree). Lineage: Eukaryota; Viridiplantae; Streptophyta; Magnoliopsida; Malpighiales; Euphorbiaceae. The record is from RNAcentral.